UACAGAGGUCUCAAGCGUUGUUCGGAUUCAUUGGGCGUAAAGGGUGCGUAGGCGGCGCGGUAAGUCGGGUGUGAAAUCUUGGAGCUUAACUCCGAAACUGCAUUCGAUACUGCCGUGCUUGGGUUCUGGAGAGGAAGGCGGAAUUCUCGGUGUAGAGGUGAAAUUCGUAGAUAUCGAGAGGAACACCGGUGGCGAAGGCGGCCUGCUGGACAGGGACUGACGCUGAGACGCGAAAGCGUGGGGAGCAAACAGG
This 253-nucleotide ribosomal RNA is filed under the name uncultured bacterium. RNAcentral's name for it is "partial 16S ribosomal RNA". It matches the Rfam family "Bacterial small subunit ribosomal RNA", at positions 524 to 776 of the family's 1533-position model. The record is from RNAcentral.